AAGUCGUAACAAGGUUUCCGUAGGUGAACCUGCGGAAGGAUCAUUAUCAACGUUAUCCACGUACUAACCAUUACCAAAAAUGUGAACCGUCUCAAUCCUCUGAGUGAAGCGGUUGGAAGUGCGAUUGCUUUGAUUGUUUUCAAAGCAAACGCUGUCUUUCUCAGAGUGUAUUUUCUAACUACACUUCCUAACACAAUCACUAUUAACCUAUUGAACCGAAACUAAAUUUACUUCUUUACUGUGAACUGAAUUAUCAUUCUUUUACUGUUUUCAAACGUUAACAGUGAAGGAUGAUCAAUUUACGAAACGAAUAAGAACAACUCUUAGCAACGGAUAUCUUGGUUCUC
RNAcentral lists this unclassified non-coding RNA (347 nucleotides) under fungal sp. RNAcentral's name for it is "partial internal transcribed spacer region". The stretch from base 1 to 46 matches the Rfam family "Eukaryotic small subunit ribosomal RNA", at positions 1786 to 1831 of the family's 1831-position model. Lineage: Eukaryota; Fungi. The record is from RNAcentral.